This 496-nucleotide ribosomal RNA is filed under the name uncultured bacterium. RNAcentral describes it as "partial 16S ribosomal RNA". It matches the Rfam family "Bacterial small subunit ribosomal RNA", at positions 28 to 506 of the family's 1533-position model. The record is from RNAcentral.
GAUGAACGCUGGCGGCGUGCCUAAUACAUGCAAGUCGAGCGAACAGACGAGGAGCUUGCUCCUCUGACGUUAGCGGCGGACGGGUGAGUAACACGUGGAUAACCUACCUAUAAGACUGGGAUAACUUCGGGAAACCGGAGCUAAUACCGGAUAAUAUAUUGAACCGCAUGGUUCAAUAGUGAAAGACGGUUUUGCUGUCACUUAUAGAUGGAUCCGCGCCGCAUUAGCUAGUUGGUAAGGUAACGGCUUACCAAGGCAACGAUGCGUAGCCGACCUGAGAGGGUGAUCGGCCACCCUGGAACUGAGACACGGUCCAGACUCCUACGGGAGGCAGCAGUAGGGAAUCUUCCGCAAUGGGCGAAAGCCUGAAGGAGCAACGCCGCGUGAGUGAUGAAGGUCUUCGGAUCGUAAAACUCUGUUAUUAGGGAAGAACAAAUGUGUAAGUAACUAUGCACGUCUUGACGGUACCUAAUAAGAAAGCCACGGCUAACUACGU